RNAcentral lists this ribosomal RNA (396 nucleotides) under uncultured bacterium. RNAcentral describes it as "bacterial SSU rRNA". It matches the Rfam family "Bacterial small subunit ribosomal RNA", at positions 505 to 898 of the family's 1533-position model. The record is from RNAcentral.
GUGUCAGCAGCCGCGGUAAUACGUAGGGUGCAAGCGUUGUCCGGAAUUAUUGGGCGUAAAGAGCUCGUAGGCGGUCUGUCGCGUCGGCUGUGAAAACUCGGGGCUCAACUCCGAGCCUGCAGUCGAUACGGGCAGACUAGAGUGCGGUAGGGGAGACUGGAAUUCCUGGUGUAGCGGUGAAAUGCGCAGAUAUCAGGAGGAACACCGGUGGCGAAGGCGGGUCUCUGGGCCGUAACUGACGCUGAGGAGCGAAAGCGUGGGGAGCAAACAGGAUUAGAUACCCUGGUAGUCCACGCCGUAAACGGUGGGUGCUAGGUGUAGGCGGUAUUCCACGCCGUCUGUGCCGCAGCUAACGCAUUAAGCACCCCGCCUGGGGAGUACGGCCGCAAGGCUAAA